Molecule: non-coding RNA, 148 nt
Filed under: Aurantiochytrium limacinum
Lineage: Eukaryota; Bigyra; Thraustochytrida; Thraustochytriidae
Source: RNAcentral
UUAAGAGAAUAAGAAACAAUAGUGUUGUUGUUCUUUAUUCUAUUUUUAUAAAACUAAUGAUCAGAAUAAAAGGGAAUAAAAGGAGACAAACUGGUUACAACUUUUUAAUUCAAAAAUUAAACACAUCAUAUAUGCCUUAUGGAAUGGA